RNAcentral lists this long non-coding RNA (543 nucleotides) under Citrus sinensis (sweet orange). RNAcentral's name for it is "long non-coding RNA (CSIN_LNC001566)". The record is from RNAcentral. Lineage: Eukaryota; Viridiplantae; Streptophyta; Magnoliopsida; Sapindales; Rutaceae.
AUCCAGAAAAGAGAGAGGAGAUUUAUUCAUAUCAACAUAAAGUUUGAUUUAUUCUAAACCAUCAUCAAAUCGUAAAACAUAUAUAGAAUAGAAGGAAAGCAUAUUACAUAAUUGAUAUAACUCUAGCAGAGCUAGAGUAAAACUAUAUGUCAAAUGCAGCCGCUGCUUCAAUAUCCUGGUGGUGGCGGCGGUGGUACACGAGGAGGAGGGCUUUUGAACUGAACAGGAACAUUGGGCCUAGGAGAUGGUGGCCAAGAUUUAGAUACCCUUCUGGACACAAUCUUUAAUUUAUGAGGGAAAUAUUGAGAAGAAUAUUCACCGGAAACAACUUCAGUACUAGCCAUGGCCAUCAGAAUAGUUUGUGAAAGAACCAAGCUAUUGAUCAAGAUGAAAGUAAUAAGCAAGCAUGAAUAUUUGACCUCCAUCGGUUACUAUGAUCAUUCCUGUAGGUACACACCUAAGCAUUUGUGGCUUAUAUAAAUACUACAUGUGGUAGCCAGCUUGAUUAAUUUCAAGACUUUUUCAACCAGAUAUGAGUUGUUG